GGGAGAAUAACAACACUGUUGCACUAUUCAUAAGAAGUGUUGGAAAAAUCCUCACUGUUGAAUGGAAUAUCAAGCUGGUCUGUGUUGGAUAGGGAUAAUGAUCGGGAGUUGGGAUUGAGUCAAGAUGAGCAAAACUGAAAGAAGGGAGCAGAGAGAGAAGAGAAAUAGAAGGGACGAAAGGGGAAGAUAUGUGAGCCGUGGAAAGAAGAGAGAAGAAAGAAAAGACCAUCAAGAUCAACAAAAGCGAAAGAAAAGAGCAGAGAGAAAAGAGGAAUAGAAGAGACGAAAGCAGAAGAUCUAUCCCUUUGUUUUCUACUUUGAUAUCUGGGUAGCCAACUGCAACAGUUUCAAGCUGUGGUCCUUGCAACAGUGAGAAUUUGGUUUGGUCAAAGCAGGUUUGGGAUAAGCAAAUUAUAAUUUGAAAACAGGUAAGAACAUUGCUUGAUUUGUGAUUUUUCUAGAUCAAUUCUGGUUUGCAGUUUUCAAUUGAAUUAAUGGUUAACUAAUUUUGGAUGCGAUUUUGAUGUUUUUCUAAGUUUUUUUUAUUUCUUUUGAUUGACUGAUAGCAGUAUGUAGGAACAUGAUUUGCAGGGUCUCCGAAAUCUGUUACCACAAAUUGAUCUUUAGCUUUCUGUCAGUUUUUCAGUUCAAGUUAGAAUUUAUAACUAUAUGAUAUAAUGCUUUGGGUUUCAUAACGAAAUUGUUUCAGUUGUCUUUAUUGAAUUUUACCCUUUGAUAAUAUAUUAAGAAUGCAGCAACAAUCAUAGCAGUAAUCGAAUUGAGAUUCAACUUUCAAAUCUUCUUAUUAUUUGUCUGAAUCAUUCGUUCUUUUCUUCUUUGUUAUAUAUUCUUUGCAAAAAUAGUUACAUGAUGUUUUUAAAUAGACAGAUUGUUGCAUUUAGAUUCGUUAAGUCUAGAUUCUGUUGGAGUAAAACACAGGCAGCUAAGCCCUUAACACAGUUAAUAGAACUUUGUUCUAAAGUUGGGGAAAGCUUCAGGAAGCUUGAAGUUGACAGUGGUGUAAUCAAUGUUAUUAAACUAAUUGAGAUUCAUAAUUGGGAUCUAAGACAACAAGGUCCAAUCUUUGAUGACAUCUGAUUAACAGCAACCAAAAAGGCCAUACAUAGUAAAGACUCGGUAUUUUAUAAAGAGACACCUAGCAUAGCUUGAAAAUUUUAAACCAAAAAAUAGGUAGUUACCAGUCGUAAAAGUUAUUGAACACUUUUUGUCAGUAAUUGAUCUAAUCAUAUUGAAUUUUGAGACACGCCUUCCGAUCUCAGCAAAAAUUUCAGUUCUACUUCAACAAUUUUCAAGAAAUUUAACCUAUAGGAUAAAGCUUUCAUUUAGAGUGAUAUGGGUACGUAUUUGAAAUUUGGAUUGCAGUUCUCUUUUUUUUUUUUCCUCCAGAUUCAUAGCUGUUAAUCUUUUGAGUAUCUUACAAUUUGUGACUUUUUAAUCUUUUGUUGGCAUGCAUUCUGAUUUCAUUUGUCUUUUUUUUUAUUGAAGUUGGUAACAGUUGCUAUUGUUUUGAUUAAGGUUUGAGUUCUUGGCUUUGGUUGCAUCUGCUGAAAGGGUUAAAGCUUUUGUGUUUGUGUAAUUGAACAGACUUUCUUGGUGGAUAGUUCAUAUAUAUCUCUGUUUGAUUACUUGGAAACACUGCAAAAGGCUUGGAUUUCUUGAUUUUUCUUUAUUUGAUUGAUGAAAAAACUGUGUAGAAGAUAAAAUUCUUUGGGUUUUCUGUGUUUUUGACAAAUUAUGACCUGUGCUCACGUAAUUGCGUGUUCAUCAGAUAAAAUUUUAUUUCCUUUUAUAUUAUGGAGGACAGGCAUUACUCCUCCAACUGUGUUUAUCAUUUUCGCUGGAAGCUUCAAAGGUAUGAGAAUUAUUUUUUUGAAGUAUAUAAAUUGCAGCAAAAGGAUUAAGGGCAGUGUGUUUGUUUGUCUCUCUUUAGUGUAAGUUUUCUAUUCCAUUAUGACAAAGACAAAAGAAGAAAACAUGAGAGGCUUUAUAUACUGAAAAGAAAUUAUGAUAAUUAGACAUGUCAGGAUCACAUUACCAUAUAUGUAAACUUGACUGUAAGCUCCAACUCAAGUGUAGGAUAGGGUCACUGAGAAUAUAGUAAGUCCCAUGUAUGUAUAAUGAUAUAAGUUUGACUACCAAAUGCGGUUAUUUAAAUGCUUACUCCCUUUUUGUAGAUGACAUUUUAAAAGUUGGAAAUGAUGUUUUAGGUUUCAGAAUGGUGGAUGUGUAUAUUAAGAAACCUGAUUUUCCCAUUGUGGAAGUUUCUAUCUUUUUGUUGUGGUUACUACUCAAUGCACCUUUCAUUGUUUGUUUUGUGGAUUUAGCACCCAGGACAUCACUUUCCAAAUCAACCUGAAGUUCUUUAAACAUAGCCAUAACCUGAAUCAUUACAUUUGCUGCAAAUGACGAAUCUGACUUUGUACACACAUGACUACCUUAUAUGAAAUAGUUGGUCACCACUACAAGUCUAAACCAUUUGUUGUCAAGCCUGACCAUGUCUGCUAUAUGUACAUAAACACCUACUAUUGUUAGCAUAUCUAACUUUGAAAUCUGGCCAACUUACCAGAUUUUGAACAUGUAAGACAAUUUAUAAUAUAUAAUGUAGCAAUGUAAUAUAAACAAUGUUUCUAAAUUCAGUAGCAUUGAAUCAAACGAUAUCGCUUAUAUUCCAGCAGUCUCUGUACCUGAAAGCUUUUACUACUUUUGUACCUUCAGUCUAUAGUUUGCAUUUGUGAGAGCAAUGAAAAUUAAGUUAUAUCACUUCAUAUUAAUGCACUUGAAUAGGAUACUCAUUCUUUUGCUUUCAAUUCUAAAACUGAUUCUUAUUGUUCUGGGUUAUGAUUGUAGGUACAGCUGGUACCGAACUUAAGAAGAAGAACCUGCUGUUCUGUGUAUUACCAGAUUAAAGGGCCUUGAGGAAUCCUUCAGCUGAUGCAAUUCCCAUUAAACUCGAGGAACUUAAGAAUGUAUUUGAACAAUCUCCUAACCACAUUCCUGUGAUGCUGGCCAAUCCUGAUUUUGUGACUAUUGAAACUACAAACACAAAAUAAGUGAGUGUAGCUUUUAUGCUUCAUUAAACAUUGACAUUCAUUAACUAUUCCCGCAGCAAAGUGCAGGUAGAUUUUACUAUUCUAAAUAUACGAAAGACAAACCAACUGUUCACACCUGUUCAUUGGCGGUGAAAGGUCGUUUCUACCCUUGCUUUUCACCCGCAAUCUCAGACUGCCAUUGGUGUGUACGCAUAUCAACAUCAUCUUCAUAAGUCUUGCCAACCUUCCACGUGUAGUGAUUAAUUACCAUACACCUAUCGGGCUUGAUGUCCUUCUGAAGUAGACCGAUGCAUCGAAUUCUCAGUCGAGAUCAAAUAUCAGCUGAUACGCUAUUCACCAACAAAGUCUCUUUCAAAGUUCAAACACUGCAGUCAAAAGAGGGGUCGACGAAUCAAUUUGUCUUAUUUUUGGAAAAGUGCUUUGCGAGUUGAGUAACUGGAGUUUGUACCUAGAAGAUUGGGUUCAUCGCGGAAGCUAGUGUGUUGGGUUUUGAUUGGGUCCAGUUUGUGACGAGAAGACGUUAAAAACGAGUAGAACAGAUAGAGGUUCGGGCGGUUGGUUGGGCUGAUUGGGGAAAAUGGUGGAGCUGCAGACGCCAAAAACUCGGGCAAUUUUUUCAAUUUCUUGAUUCCUUUGCAGCCGGUCUCACGUUCCGCUCCACACGCCAUUUUGCAUUUGAAGUUGGAUUGUUUGCUUGAAGCUGAGCAAGUUGGAGUUGAGGGAUAUGGCGUUGUUCUUAUUAAUACUGAAGAGGCAGGUACCAUGAUAGUCACCAAUUUUCAGCUUCUUUUUCUGAUUGAGGGAACUAGGAAUGUUAUUCCGCUUGGCACGAUACCUUUGGCAACAAUUGAGAAGUUCAACAAAAUUCGAUUUCUGUUCAGUUUUCAUCCUGAGCUGAGGUCAUCAUCAGCGUGGUGCUUCAAUCGAUUUCCCAAGUUUGAGACUUUGUGCAUGUGUAGAAUUUGACUCAGUCUUAAAUGGUGCUUGGAUAUGGUUGGAGGAAUGGAGGCUAGCCAAGGAUUCUUUUGUCCGUCAAGCCUCAGCUCUAUUUCAAAAAUGUAAAUCACUUAGCAAGGACAGAGAAGUAAACAAUAACUUUUUCUGCUGUGUGUCAAAGCUAAGUGAAGUUUCAGUGCAAUCAAGUUUAGUUGGAUUUGGAUAAUAUCUGGUAAUACACCAUGUUCCUUUUUUUUUUUUUUUUCCUUUUUUCUUUCCGGAGAUAGAGCAAUCUUGCACUUUUGAUAUAUAGAACAAUAUCUGUAUCAUAUCUGUUUUUCAUGUGCUCUACUGCAUCACAACCUUCGCUUUGGGAAGGCACAAGAUUCAGAAAGGUUUAGGUAUGCUAGGGAUACAUCAUUCGGAAAGAGUCAUUUGAACUUCUGGAGCCAGUCAACAGUUCUGCUUUGGAUUGUGUGCACCGUGUGCUUCGUCAAACAGUUUUUCUGGUUAGAUAUUAUGUACCUGACUCUGAGGCAUGGUUUUAUCUCGGCACAUCUAGCACCUGAGAUCAUUUAUUCUCAUGCUAACGGGUGAGAAAAGAGGAUUUGGCAAAGGACAGGAAACUGCGUUUGAAGCAUUUUAAUUGUAUUUGCGAUUUUGUUGAACUAGGUUGUUUUCUUUGCUGCUUUUUUGUUUCUGAUUGGUUCAAGACAUCUACUGUUGCUGAAUAUAUAAUUCUAUUUCAGUCUAUUUGAAAACUAGAGAAAUCAGGUUAGGAAAGUUUUUUUUUUUUUUUUUUCCUUGAAAUAGGUCAGGAAGGUUAUGUGCAGGGAGUUGGAGAGAUAUUUUGUUUAAUAUAUGAUUUGUGUCCCUGAUAAUUGAUUGUUGGAAAUAGUAUAAUCUUGGGUCAAUUUGAAAAGUAUUGUGAAUCCACACACAACUGUCGGAAGAAAGACAAGGACAAUGAUGGUUGAAAAUUUGGCUAUUGGCAGUGAGCAUCCCAUAAGGAUUCAAACAAUGACAACAAGUGACAUAGAUGAUGCUUCUGCCACGAUUGAAGGGGUAACUGGAGGUUAACUCUCUUCUAUGCUCAGAUUCUUGAAGCAUCAAAUGAUGAAGAGGUUGCCUUACUGUCACAGAUGUUCAGGUGAAAAGCAAGCACUACUGAAUUGUGUUGGCGUUAGCAUGAAUACGACGAAUUGUGUUGGCGUUAGCAUGAAUACGACGACUUUGUCUUCAGAUCGGCUAACACCUUUUGUGCAUACAUACCCAGAGCAACUAAACAACUAUUUUCUGGAAAAUGCUCUAGCAGCAACUGUAAUUAAGUUAAACUAAGAUAGCCUAUUUGUUACCAGCUGCUAUCCAUAUUGGAAAGAAGUGAUAUUGUACUAUUUUGUCCUUUAUAUUCUCUGUCCUCUCAAGUUUAGUUCUAUACUAACAAUUGGAGGUGAUGAACAAGAGGGAGUAGGAAAAGGAACAAUGGAUUAAAGGGAAGCCUUCAGUUCA
Rosa chinensis is the source of this 5516-nucleotide long non-coding RNA. RefSeq lists it as uncharacterized. Lineage: Eukaryota; Viridiplantae; Streptophyta; Magnoliopsida; Rosales; Rosaceae. The transcript has 20 exons. The record is from RefSeq and is a predicted model, not a curated record.